GAUGAACGCUAGCGGCAGGCUUAAUACAUGCAAGUCGAGGGGCAGCAGCUCUGUAGCAAUACAGAGGCUGGCGACCGGCAAACGGGUGCGGAACACGUACGCAACUUACCCAUAACUGGUGAAUAGCCCUCCGAAAGGAGGAUUAAUACAUCGUAACAUAAUGAGAUGGCAUCAUUUUAUUAUUAUAGCUCUCGGGCGGUUAUGGAUGGGCGUGCGGCUGAUUAGGUAGUUGGCGGAGUAAUAGCCCACCAAGCCAACGAUCAGUAACUGGUGUGAGAG
Molecule: ribosomal RNA, 279 nt
Filed under: uncultured bacterium
Lineage: Bacteria
Description: partial 16S ribosomal RNA
Rfam family: Bacterial small subunit ribosomal RNA
Source: RNAcentral